GGUUAAGCGACUAAGCGUACACGGUGGAUGCCCUGGCAGUCAGAGGCGAUGAAGGGCGUGCUAAUCUGCGAUAAGCGCCGGUAAGGUGAUAUGAACCGUUAUAACCGGCGAUACCCGAAUGGGGAAACCCAGUGUGAUUCGUCACACUAUCAUUAACUGAAUCCAUAGGUUAAUGAGGCGAACCGGGGGAACUGAAACAUCUAAGUACCCCGAGGAAAAGAAAUCAACCGAGAUUCCCCCAGUAGCGGCGAGCGAACGGGGAGGAGCCCAGAGCCUGAAUCAGCAUGUGUGUUAGUGGAAGCGUCUGGAAAGGCGCGCGAUACAGGGUGACAGCCCCGUACACAAAAGCGCAUGUGCUGUGAGCUCGAUGAGUAGGGCGGGACACGUGGUAUCCUGUCUGAAUAUGGGGGGACCAUCCUCCAAGGCUAAAUACUCCUGACUGACCGAUAGUGAACCAGUACCGUGAGGGAAAGGCGAAAAGAACCCCGGCGAGGGGAGUGAAAAAGAACCUGAAACCGUGUACGUACAAGCAGUGGGAGCACCCUUUGGGUGUGACUGCGUACCUUUUGUAUAAUGGGUCAGCGACUUAUAUUCUGUAGCAAGGUUAACCGAAUAGGGGAGCCGGAGGGAAACCGAGUCUUAA
This 643-nucleotide ribosomal RNA is filed under the name Salmonella enterica subsp. enterica. RNAcentral describes it as "partial 23S ribosomal RNA". It matches the Rfam family "Bacterial large subunit ribosomal RNA", at positions 1 to 687 of the family's 2925-position model. The record is from RNAcentral. Lineage: Bacteria; Pseudomonadati; Pseudomonadota; Gammaproteobacteria; Enterobacterales; Enterobacteriaceae.